AGAGUUGAUCAUGGCUCAGAACGAACGCUGGCGGCAUGCCUAACACAUGCAAGUCGAACGAAGCCUUCGGGCUUAGUGGCGCACGGGUGCGUAACGCGUGGGAAUCUGCCCUUGGUUCGGAAUAACAGUUAGAAAUGACUGCUAAUACCGGACGAUGUCUUCGGACCAAAGAUUUAUCGCCCAAGGAUGAGCCCGCGUAGGAUUAGGUAGUUGGUGGGGUAAUGGCCCACCAAGCCGACGAUCCUUAGCUGGUCUGAGAGGAUGAUCAGCCACACUGGGACUGAGACACGGCCCAGACUCCUACGGGAGGCAGCAGUGGGGAAUAUUGGACAAUGGGCGAAAGCCUGAUCCAGCAAUGCCGCGUGAGUGAUGAAGGCCUUAGGGUUGUAAAGCUCUUUUACCAGGGAUGAUAAUGACAGUACCUGGAGAAUAAGCUCCGGCUAACUCCGUG
Molecule: ribosomal RNA, 451 nt
Filed under: uncultured bacterium
Lineage: Bacteria
Description: bacterial SSU rRNA
Rfam family: Bacterial small subunit ribosomal RNA
Source: RNAcentral